Molecule: ribosomal RNA, 496 nt
Filed under: Scinax cruentomma (Manaus snouted treefrog)
Lineage: Eukaryota; Metazoa; Chordata; Amphibia; Anura; Hylidae
Description: partial large subunit ribosomal RNA
Rfam family: Bacterial large subunit ribosomal RNA
Source: RNAcentral
CGUAAUCACUUGUUCUUUAAAUGGGGACUAGUAUGAAUGGCACCACGAGGGUUAUACUGUCUCCUUUCUCUGAUCAGUGAAACUAAUCUCCCCGUGAAGAAGCGGGGAUACAGCUAUAAGACGAGAAGACCCUAUGGAGCUUUAAAUCUCUUUUCAAACGCUAAAAUACUUAUACAAGUCCCAGACUUACCCUCACACUUACCUAGCGCCAUGAAAAUGAUUUUAGGUUGGGGUGACCGCGGAGCACAAAAAAACCUCCACGCUGAACUAGACGUCCAAACCUUGAGCUAAGGGCUACGACCCGAUGCACUAAAAAAUUAACACCAAUUGACCCAAUAUUUAUUUGAUCAACGAACCAAGUUACCCUAGGGAUAACAGCGCAAUCCAUUUCAAGAGUCCAUAUCGACAAAUGGGUUUACGACCUCGAUGUUGGAUCAGGGUCUCCCAGUGGUGCAGCCGCUACUAAUGGUUCGUUUGUUCAACGAUUAAAACCCUA